RNAcentral lists this ribosomal RNA (217 nucleotides) under uncultured bacterium. Its description in RNAcentral is "partial 16S ribosomal RNA". It matches the Rfam family "Bacterial small subunit ribosomal RNA", at positions 328 to 537 of the family's 1533-position model. The record is from RNAcentral.
ACGCUCGACACCUACGGGAGGAGCAGUAGGGAAUCUUCCACAAUGGACGCAAGUCUGAUGGAGCAACGCCGCGUGAGUGAAGAAGGUUUUCGGAUCGUAAAGCUCUGUUGUUGGUGAAGAAGGAUAGAGGUAGUAACUGGCCUUUAUUUGACGGUAAUCAACCAGAAAGUCACGGCUAACUACGUCNCNNNGCGACGUAUNGNGGCGGNGNGACGAG